GCACCUCUAGCUCAAUUGGCAGAGCAUCUGACUCUUAAUCAGCAGGUUCCGGGUUCAAGUCCCGGGGGGUGCAC
This 74-nucleotide transfer RNA is filed under the name Micrococcus flavus. RNAcentral's name for it is "tRNA-Lys". It matches the Rfam family "tRNA". From Rfam's summary of the family: Transfer RNA (tRNA) molecules are approximately 80 nucleotides in length. Their secondary structure includes four short double-helical elements and three loops (D, anti-codon, and T loops). The record is from RNAcentral. Lineage: Bacteria; Bacillati; Actinomycetota; Actinomycetes; Micrococcales; Micrococcaceae.